CAUCGCCUCUUGACAAAAUAUAAGAGGUCCAGCCUGCCCAGUGACCAUGUUCAACGGCCGCGGUAUCCUAACCGUGCGAAGGUAGCGUAAUCACUUGUUCUUUAAAUGAGGACUAGUAUGAAUGGCACCACGAAGGUUAUACUGUCUCCUUUUUCUGAUCAGUGAAACUAAUCUCCCCGUGAAGAAGCUGGGAUUUUUUUAUAAGACGAGAAGACCCUAUGGAGCUUUAAACAGAAAAACAAUUGCUACCACAAUUAUUAAUUUCAGAAAACUAAACUUUAUCCUAGCAUUAUGAUUUUCAGUUUUAGGUUGGGGUGACCGCGGAGUAAAAUAUAACCUCCGCAUUGAAACGGAUUCUAUCCUAAGCAAAAAGCUACGACUUUAAGCAUCAACAAAUUGACACCAAUUGACCCAAUAUUUUGAUCAACGAACCAAGUUACCCUAGGGAUAACAGCGCAAUCCACUUCAAGAGCUCCUAUCGACAAGUGGGUUUACGACCUCGAUGUUGGAUCAGGGUAUCCCAGUGGUGCAGCCGCUACUAAAGGUUCGUUUGUUCAACGAUUAAAACCCUACGUGAUCU
This 580-nucleotide ribosomal RNA is filed under the name Telmatobius dankoi. Its description in RNAcentral is "partial 16S ribosomal RNA". It matches the Rfam family "Bacterial large subunit ribosomal RNA", at positions 1816 to 2606 of the family's 2925-position model. Lineage: Eukaryota; Metazoa; Chordata; Amphibia; Anura; Ceratophryidae. RNAcentral also lists the same sequence under 1 other name. The record is from RNAcentral.